Molecule: long non-coding RNA, 274 nt
Filed under: Olea europaea (common olive)
Lineage: Eukaryota; Viridiplantae; Streptophyta; Magnoliopsida; Lamiales; Oleaceae
Description: long non-coding RNA (OEUR_LNC001955)
Source: RNAcentral
AUAGAUCUCUAUCAACCUAAUCAAAAUUCAAAAUGUUAAAGUUUCAGAGAAAUUGUCAGAACAGAAAUAUAUAUUGGAAUUUAGUUCAGUAAUUUAACACUAACCUCAAAACUAACCACACCACCAAAACCAUUCAUUUGCUUCUUUGCAAUGUGAUGUUCUGGAUGACUUGUCAAGCCCGAAUAAUAUACGUGCCUAAUCUGCAAUUCAUGAAUGCGAGAUGGUACUUAUUCCAGUAUAAAAACUUGCUCCGUUUGUCACUAUAUUUGAGACC